AGAAUCUGGCUUCAGGUUCGGGACAACAGUUGGAAACGGCUGCUAAUACCGGAUGUGCCUUAUGGUGAAAGAUUUAUCACCUGAAGAUGAGCUCGCGUCUGAUUAGCUAGUUGGUGUGGUAAGAGCGCACCAAGGCGACGAUCAGUAGCUGGUCUGAGAGGAUGAUCAGCCACACUGGGACUGAGACACGGCCCAGACUCCUACGGGAGGCAGCAGUGGGGAAUUUUCCGCAAUGGGCGAAAGCCUGACGGAGCAAUACCGCGUGAGGGAGGAAGGCUCUUGGGUUGUAAACCUCUUUUCUCAGGGAAGAAUAAUGACGGUACCUGAGGAGUAAGCAUCGGCUAACUCCGUGCCAGCAGCCGCGGUAAUACGGAGGAUGCAAGCGUUAUCCGGAAUGAUUGGGCGUAAAGCGUCCGCAGGUGGCAAUGUAAGUCUGCUGUCAAAGCGUCUGGCUCAACCAGAUAAAGGCAGUGGAAACUACAUAGCUAGAGUAAGGUAGGGGUAGAGGGAAUUCCUGGUGUAGCGGUGAAAUGCGUAGAGAUCAGGAAGAACACCGGUGGCGAAGGCGCUCUGCUGGACCUUAACUGACACUGAGGGACGAAAGCUAGGGGAGCGAAUGGGAUUAGAUACCCCAGUAGUC
This 640-nucleotide ribosomal RNA is filed under the name uncultured cyanobacterium. RNAcentral's name for it is "bacterial SSU rRNA". It matches the Rfam family "Bacterial small subunit ribosomal RNA", at positions 120 to 795 of the family's 1533-position model. Lineage: Bacteria; Bacillati; Cyanobacteriota. The record is from RNAcentral.